AGGGAAUAGCCUCUGUUCUGCAGCGUAGGUCCGAUAACGAGGAGUAUGUGGAGGUUGGACGCCUCGGACCCUCUGACUACUUUGGUGAGAUCGCCCUCCUGUUGAACCGUCCCAGGGCAGCCACCGUAGUCGCUCGUGGUCCGCUGAAGUGUGUGAAGCUGGACCGGCCUCGCUUUGAGCGUGUGCUGGGUCCGUGCUCAGAGAUCCUCAAGAGGAACAUCCAGAGAUACAACAGCUUCAUCUCCCUCACAGUGUGACACCUCAGCCCCUCUGGGCUCCACCAGCAGGGGUGGGCAGCAUCAGCAUCAGAGUUUGGGUCUGUGGGUAGGGUGAGGUUAGGAGAAGGGGUAAAGGACAUGGGUUUUACAUCCACAACUACAGGGCGCUCAUUUCCUGCCUUUUUCCCAUGUUGCUCGUUUAUUUUCUUUUGAUCUUGUGCACUUUGACUUGACCUGUGCUGUCACGUAGCUUUAUGUCAAAAUCAACAUGCAGGAGUGUAAAAAUCAGAUAAUACAGGUAAAUGAGUCAUUUGUACAGUGUGGCAACUGUAUAUAUGAUGCAUGCUUCUAAACUGACAGAGAAGGGUGUUUUCACUUUCAUGAAUUUAUGAAGGGUACAGUCGAAUUCAGGAAAAACGAAGGAAGUGAAGUCAUGUUUACGUCCAGUUGUUUGCCUAUUUUUUUCACAGUGUGAAAGAAAAAAAAAUGUGGCUGUUUCAUUUUUAGUGCUUCUUAUGUGUGCUUUUACUGCUAUUAUCAGUUGGGGGAUUUAUUAAAGGCAGUGAUAUGUUGAGUUAAGAUUAUGUCAGCCGAAUAACAGCUUUUUCUCAAAAAAAUCCUUUCUGUUCUCAGUCUGAUCUAUGAGCUGUGGGAUUCCAAAAGAGCAGUAAAUGUUAUCAGUCCGGUCCACAAAAACACAAACAACCUGACAUGAAACACACAACUGUUCUCUAUAUGCUUGCACUGUCUCAGGACUAGGUCAAUCCUCAAAACACACACACACACACACACACACACACACACACACACACACACACACGCACGCACACACACACACACACACACACACACACACACACACACACGUCUUUCCUGUUGCUUUCUUACGCUGUUUUAGUUUUAUGUUACAGUAAAUUGCUAGAUGACAGCUUUUGCACCACUUAAGAGUUUGUAAUGUUGGUUCAAUACUGAUGUUUGAUUUAGCACUUUUUAAGACAUUACUUAUAUGAUAUAAUUAUAUAAAAUAAAUAUGUAAAAAAAUAUGUAUUUGUGUUGCUUUCCUUUGAUCUAAUGUUAUCUGUCAAAGAUGCACAACUGACCCAGUGACCAAUGUUGUAUACAAUGGGACCUUAUGAAAAGAAUAUUUCUAUAUUCUCUCUCUUUAUGUCUUUCUUUCAACUAUCAACCAUCUUGGGCAAAUAAAGAUUAGCUUCUGAAA
This is a long non-coding RNA of Notothenia coriiceps (black rockcod), 1437 nucleotides long. RefSeq lists it as uncharacterized. The record is from RefSeq and is a predicted model, not a curated record. Lineage: Eukaryota; Metazoa; Chordata; Actinopteri; Perciformes; Nototheniidae. The transcript is spliced from 2 exons.